CGUAGGGUGCAGGCGUUAAUCGGAAUUACUGGGCGUAAAGCGUGCGCAGGCGGCUCCUUAAGUCAGAUGUGAAAGCCCCGGGCUUAACCUGGGAACUGCGUUUGAAACUGGGGAGCUAGAGUGUGGAAGAGGGGGUGGAAUUCCAGGUGUAGCAGUGAAAUGCGUAGAGAUCUGGAGGAACACCGAUGGCGAAGGCAGCCCCCUGGGCUAACACUGACGCUCAUGCACGAAAGCGUGGGGAGCAAACAGGAUUAGAUACCCUGGUAGUCCACGCCCUAAACGAUGUCAACUGGUUGUCGGGGAAGUAAUUCCUUGGUAACGAAGCUAACGCGUGAAGUUGACCGCCUGGGGAGUACGGCCGCAAGGCUU
RNAcentral lists this ribosomal RNA (369 nucleotides) under uncultured organism. RNAcentral's name for it is "bacterial SSU rRNA". It matches the Rfam family "Bacterial small subunit ribosomal RNA", at positions 526 to 896 of the family's 1533-position model. The record is from RNAcentral.